ACCUCCAAUUAUUUGUUUACUUUCCUAAUCUCAGUACCCAGGAUCAUUCCUGUCAUAUAAUAGAACCUCCAUAAAUUUUUUUUUACAGUUUUAAUUUUUCUCAAAAGAACAGGCACACAUAAUUGACUAGUGCCAGGUGGUGUAAAUAUGACAUAGUAAUUACAAAGGAGUAUUUGUAAGUCAGAGCAAUAGCAGAGCACAUGGUCCCUGGGCUCCCAUCACCCUCAAAGAAGUGGCUGAAGCCAGCCUGCCUGGACUGGAUGCUCUUGGGGGCCAGACAUAUGCCCCAGGCCAUUCUCAUUGGUUGCUUCAGAUGACCAGACCCAUCCCCUUUUCCUCAUUUCCCUUCCCAGAGGCUGCAAGUUCGAGAAGUGUUCAACUCCAGAUUACAUUUGAGCCCAUUUUUAUUAAAAAGUUACCAAAAGAAAUUCAAAGUGGACUGGAGAGAAAUGUUUCAAAGAGCUCAAGGGCAGAAAGGCCAGGGUUGGAAGCUUCUGGCUUUUUGCCCAACUGCAGCUGCUGGGAUGCACAAGGUUCGGAGGCCACUCCAGCUCCUGCCGGGAGGACACAGUGGCUGUCAGUCAAGAACAAAAGGCCAUGCUCUGGGGCUCCGAUCCUGGGCUCCUCAGCAACAACUUUCUCUCUAUGUCAGCACAGCUGCCAAGCUUUGUGCACACCUGCUUCCCUGGGCAGGGCCAGGAGAGACUCACCGGCUCCAAGGAAAGGAUGAAGGGAAGGCAGGAGCUCCUGAGUGAGUUUGAUGUGCUGGUCCACCACUCGCCUUAGAGUAGCAGGAGGAACAGAGAUGCUCCAGAGUAUUUCUGGAACUCUAGAUGGCCCUUGCACUGCAAGGAGAUCCAACCAGUCCAUCCUAAAGGAAAUCGGUCCUGAAUGUUCAUUGAAAGGACUGAUGCUGAAGCUGAAACUCCAAUACUUUGGCCACCUGAUGUGAAGAGCUGACUCAUUUGAAAAGACCCUGAUGCUGGGAAAGAUUGAAGGCGAGAGGAGAAGGGGAUGACAGCGGAUGAGAUGGUUGGAUGGCAUCACCGACUCAAUGGACAUGAGUUUGAGUAGACCCUGGGAGUUGGUGAUGGACAGGGAGGCCUGGUGUGCUGCAGUUCAUGGGGUUGCAAACAGUCAGACACGACUGAGCGACUGAGCUGAACUGAAC
This is a long non-coding RNA of Bos taurus (domestic cattle), 1171 nucleotides long. NCBI's taxonomy places the organism in Eukaryota, Metazoa, Chordata, Mammalia, Artiodactyla, Bovidae. The record is from Ensembl.